UACGUAGGGUGCGAGCGUUGUCCGGAAUUAUUGGGCGUAAAGAGCUCGUAGGCGGUUUGUCGCGUCGAAUGUGAAAACCCGGGGCUCAACCCCGGGCCUGCAUUCGAUACGGGCAGACUAGAGUUCGGUAGGGGAGUCUGGAAUUCCUGGUGUAGCGGUGGAAUGCGCAGAUAUCAGGAGGAACACCAAUGGCGAAGGCAGAUCUCUGGGCCGUAACUGACGCUGAGGAGCGAAAGCAUGGGGAGCGAACAGG
This 253-nucleotide ribosomal RNA is filed under the name uncultured bacterium. RNAcentral describes it as "partial 16S ribosomal RNA". It matches the Rfam family "Bacterial small subunit ribosomal RNA", at positions 524 to 776 of the family's 1533-position model. The record is from RNAcentral.